AAACGAUGCCGGCGGCAGCUCAGCGUGUGUCGUACUGAUAGUGUUAUCACUAGCUAUCAUAAGACACACGCGGCUAUCGCCGGUCUCUCCU
Molecule: non-coding RNA, 91 nt
Organism: Tribolium castaneum (red flour beetle)
Lineage: Eukaryota; Metazoa; Arthropoda; Insecta; Coleoptera; Tenebrionidae
Gene: Mir970
Product: microRNA mir-970
Exons: 1
Source: RefSeq, marked provisional